GUCCUCCCCAGCCGCCUUGUAAAGACGCUGAAGCCAAGUCACAAACAAAGAAAAAGCAGUGAGAAGGCGAGUAUUCGGCUCUGUGCUCGCUUGAGGCUGGGAAGGCCUCACUGGACACAGCUCAGCCAAGGCUGAGGGACAUUUCCUUCAGUAGAGUCGGGCUGCAUGAGUCACAGGAGACGGAAGGAGUGUGUGAAGAAUUGCAGUUCACUUUAUAAGCGCCGAGGAAGCAAUCCUUGGAGAGCCAUGGGAGACUUCACCUCAUUGGUGAUCUGGUUGCUGAACUUGGCAUGCAGAAGGUUGGGAGUAUCUGUCACAGCUGUGUACUUGAAUGACCCAGGGUGCUGGCGGUACUUACUCUGAGAAGGAAAGAGACGGCUCGGAGCGACACAGGGGACACCACGCAUGAAGUUCAAGUCAGAACGGUACAGAGUCUACGAGGAGGAGCGUGCAAACGUCAGAGAAGCCAGACUCCAAACUAAGGAGCAGGAGAAGCCAGCUCUCAGCACACGUGCGCAAGGCUGCGGCCCUGGGUGGGUACAGGCGGGGUCCCACUCAACAUCAGUGCUCACAGUUGUCAGUAACGGCUUGUCAGGGGAAAACCUGGGUCACACACAAAUCAUUGCGCUGUCACUUUUCUGUGAGCAGCUCUGACAGGAUGGAGUUUUGUUUUAAUGUGGGCUACCAAAACACAAAUGCUGGAGAGGAUUGUGGCUAGAAUGUCAGGUGUCCUGGGGCAAAUGUACAAAUGCUUUAACCGAUCUUUCAAACAAAAGCCAGCAGCAGCAGCUGGUAUUAAUUAAUCAUGUGUUAAGAAAGAACUGAUGAAUAAAUCGGAAAGAACCUGGCAGGG
Meriones unguiculatus (Mongolian gerbil) is the source of this 853-nucleotide long non-coding RNA. RefSeq lists it as uncharacterized. The record is from RefSeq and is a predicted model, not a curated record. The transcript is spliced from 3 exons. Lineage: Eukaryota; Metazoa; Chordata; Mammalia; Rodentia; Muridae.